GAGAAGCUUCAGCUCCAAGAGUGUCCUGCAAGUCUUUAGCAUACUAAGAAGUCUUUGUCUCCAAGUGAUGAGCCGCAAGUCUCCAUACCUCCAACAAAGCCCUUGAUUGAUGGUGGUGAGAAGAAGAAUAAGAGAAAGAUUUUAUAAAGAUUGUAACCCCCGUACAAAUCUUUGAAACAAAAUACUAUUCUUUGUCUCUAUUUUUUUGGCUUGAUUAUUAUUUCUCAUGAACGAAAACUUAGUCGUUACAAUAGAUCUUGUAGGCUAUGCUUGGAGAAUUUGGAACGAAAGGAAUGGCAUAGAACUACUGGAUCCAAUGAUAGAAAAACCACGUGAUUGGAAUGAAGUUUUAGGAUGCGUCCUUGUUGGACUCUUGUGUUAUCAACGUCGUGCCCAAGACAAAACCUUCAUGGUUCAGGCGGUUUGCCUUCCGGAGAGCGGAAUGUCAAGGUUGAAUUUUGUGCCCCUGAAACCUUAAUUCUCUGAGCAUGAUUACGAUCAUUUGGUUGAACAAAUGAUCGGUGAAGAACUCGCUCUCCGAGUAGUUGUGACAAAUGCAGAGCUGUUGGUUUUCACAUCCACAGGAGUCGCGAAAGUGUGAAUGGGCUAACUAUUACUAAAUUGACUUGAAGAUCAUGACCUAAUACCAAGAAACUAGUAUACAGAGAAAAACGUAGUAAAUUAUAGUAGGUCUGAAGGUCUUUUUAUUUUUCCCCUUUUACUACUACAAUUUGAAAGAAUGAACGUGGCAUUCCUACUGGCAAACAACCCAUAAGGCUUAAGCUGAGCUUCCUAUAUUUGGAACUUGCAAGUGGGAAUUCCAGGACUAUCAUUGUUGCUAGGAAAACAAUCAUAUAUCACUGAGUAUGUUGUUGUUGUUGA
This is a long non-coding RNA of Lycium ferocissimum, 882 nucleotides long. RefSeq lists it as uncharacterized. The record is from RefSeq and is a predicted model, not a curated record. The transcript has 2 exons. Lineage: Eukaryota; Viridiplantae; Streptophyta; Magnoliopsida; Solanales; Solanaceae.